This 611-nucleotide ribosomal RNA is filed under the name Helicotylenchus indicus. RNAcentral describes it as "SSU rRNA". It matches the Rfam family "Eukaryotic small subunit ribosomal RNA", at positions 1031 to 1667 of the family's 1831-position model. Lineage: Eukaryota; Metazoa; Nematoda; Chromadorea; Rhabditida; Hoplolaimidae. The record is from RNAcentral.
CGAGUUCGAUGCACUAGCGAUCCGCCGGCGGAUUCAUUCGCCCUGGUGGGGAGCUUCCCGGAAACGAAAGUCUUCCGGUUCCGGGGGAAGUAUGGUUGCAAAGCUGAAACUUAAAGGAAUUGACGGAAGGGCACCACCAGGAGUGGAGCCUGCGGCUUAAUUUGACUCAACACGGGGAAACUCACCCGGCCCGGACACCGUAAGGAUUGACAGAUUGAUAGCUUUUUCAUGAUUCGGUGGAUGGUGGUGCAUGGCCGUUCUUAGUUCGUGGAGCGAUUUGUCUGGUUUAUUCCGAUAACGAGCGAGACUCUGGCCUACUAAAUAGUCGGCGCAUUGCUACUGUGCGCACAGUACUUCUUAGAGGGAUUUUCGGUGUUCAGCCGCACGAAAUUGAGCAAUAACAGGUCUGUGAUGCCCUUAGAUGUCCGGGGCUGCACGCGCGCUACACUGGCAAAAUCAGCGUGCUUGUCCUUCCCCGAAAGGGGUUGGUAAACCCGUGAAAAUUUGCCGUGAUUGGGAUCGGACAUUGCAAUUAUUGUCCGUGAACGAGGAAUUCCUUGUAGGGGCGAGUCAUCAACUCGCUCUGAUUACGUCCGGGCCCCUUUGGAAAA